AUGGCCGCGGUAUUUUGACCGUGCAAAGGUAGCAUAAUCAUUAGUUUUUUAAUUGAAAGCUGGAAUGAAUGGUUGGACAAGAAAAUUUCUGUCUCUAUCUAAUUUUUAGAAUUUUAUUUUUUAGUUAAAAAGCUUAAAUUUUUUUAAGGGACGAGAAGACCCUAUAGAAUUUUACAAAUUUGUUUGUUUUUGAUUUUUAGUUUAAUUAUAAGAAAAUAAGCUAAGUUUGUUUAAUUGGGGUGAUUGAAAAAUUUAAGAAACUUUUUUUAAUUUGAAUCAUUGAUUUAUGAGUAGUUGAUCCAUUAAUUGUGAUUAUAAGAUUAAAUUACCUUAGGGAUAACAGC
This 344-nucleotide ribosomal RNA is filed under the name Colophon neli. RNAcentral describes it as "partial 16S ribosomal RNA". Lineage: Eukaryota; Metazoa; Arthropoda; Insecta; Coleoptera; Lucanidae. The record is from RNAcentral.